UUGCCUGCAGAAAACAAAUCAUUGACUCAUUAGAGCUUCACAAAGUCUUGUUGCCUUAAAACCUCAAACCUUAUACUCAGCAUGACCACCUUGCGCGGGAAGUGAUUGAUUAAUCAGUUAUCACGAUCGGGAAGUUAUGGAACGUGGAAAGUUACAAAGGAUAAUAAAAAAACCUGGCAAGACAAAGAUUAAGGAAUGAUUUUCAAAUAAUUACAUGCAGAAAAGGAAUGCUGAAAUAUUAGAAGUACUUGACUACAGUAAAUUAGACUUUCAGAGGUCACCUCAAAUUGAUUUUAAAAUGUCACAAAAGGGUACAUUCAAUAAAUUAUUUAAUACCAGAACAAUUAUUUUCAACACACAAAAAUAUCGUUGUUUAUUAUGAAACAGAUGAGACAAGUUUCUAAUAACAAAGAGCAAUAGUUGCCAUCAGGAUAAAAUAAAUGCAUGGUUUAUAUGAACUUUAGUACCAAUCCUACCAAUAUUUAUGGACAUGCUACAGUGUUGCUGGUAGUCUCACUGCCUGAUUCUGUUUUCAUUAAAGCUCCCGUAUAGGGCUGCCAGUAUAAAGAGGCCUUGAACUGGGCACAAGUUAAAUUCAUAUCUGUUGUUAGGCUCCUUUACUAUGCUGUAUUGGUGUAAAGGGGUCUGCUUACAUCAGUGGGACAAGUCAGGCAGGCAUAUUCCUGUUUUCUCAUGAAUAACCAGAACAAGUGCCUAUGGACCACCAUAACAUUAGGAUAUGGUAAAAAACUAUUUCAUGAAACAAAUCAUCAUUUAUCGUUUACAUUUUGAAUUAGUGGCAUCAUGAAGUUAAAAUAAGUUGACAGACUCCAAUAAAAACAGUAAUUAAAAAACAAAAAUACAAAAUCCAGUAACAUGUUCUGGAGAAA
Long non-coding RNA from Gavialis gangeticus (Gharial), 890 nucleotides. RefSeq lists it as uncharacterized. NCBI's taxonomy places the organism in Eukaryota, Metazoa, Chordata, Crocodylia, Gavialidae. The record is from RefSeq and is a predicted model, not a curated record. The transcript has 4 exons.